RNAcentral lists this long non-coding RNA (1053 nucleotides) under Canis lupus familiaris (dog). Its description in RNAcentral is "lncRNA (ENSCAFG00000051091.1)". Lineage: Eukaryota; Metazoa; Chordata; Mammalia; Carnivora; Canidae. The record is from RNAcentral.
CUAACCUGGCCGAGCCUCCCUCCCUCUGGGCUCAGGUCUCUGGACCACUCCCAGGCCAAGGCGGGGGGGGUGCCCCGUGCAGGAGAAGCCCGCAGCUCACCGAGAGGUGCCCCAGGACACCGCCAGUGUUCCCGAAGCGCGAUGGAGAUGGUCCAGGGGCCCAGAGCGGGCACGAGGGCCCAGGCCGGCUCCAGAGUGGGCAGCCCGGGCAUUUCCAGUAAAUGGGGCUCCAUUCAGGAAACGAAACAGAAGAGACACAGAAACCGACAGCUGACGUCAUAAUGCAGCUCCAAAAUAUGGGCAUCGCGUCCUCAUUUACUUGGCCAGGACUUCCUCGUUUUCACUUUCUGGUCUCUUCCGAACUGCCACCGGAGCCCCUGGAGGUCAGGGUUCAUGCCACCUGCCCCAAGCAUGGCAUUAACUUCAAGGCACGUGCAUUCUCCUAAAAAAAAAAAAAAUUAAAUAAAAAAUAUGUAAGGCAAGGCGCCUGGGUGGCACAGUCGGUUAAGUGAUUAAGCAAGCAUCCCACUCUUGGUUUCGGCUCAGGUCGUGAUCCCAGAGUCAUGCCCUGCAUCGGGCUUCACACUCAGCGCAGUCAGAGCCUGCUUGAGAUUCUCGCCCUCUCCUUCUGUCCCUCCCCCUGCUUGUGCUAACAAAAUAAAUAAAUUCCUUGUCCAGUGUUCUCAACUUUCUGAUUUACUGCCCUGUUAAGGUACUCGACUUUGUUCUCAAACCUCCAAAACCAGGGGUAGAUGCUGCAGGCAUUUUGCUUUGCUCCCUGAGGCACUGGCUCCCAGGGAACAACUUGUUCCUAGGGGUGAGUCACCUGGAUAUAGUCUAAUUGUCAUGCUUGGGAGGCCUCCAGCUAGGGGAGUGCUCCCAUAGCCAAUUCCUGCCCGUUUUGGGUCUGGGCUUCUCCUGGGGCCUACAUGCUAUUGCUUUUCUGGUUCCUUGAGGUCAGAGGCUGACGAUAUUCAAACCCAGGCCUCCAGACCCCUAGUUCAGGGCCCACCAGCCAUCACGAGCACUGGACUAAGAGUCAGCAGACCUGGG